UUUUUUUUUUUUUUUUUUUUUUUUUUUGAGACAGUCUUGCUCUGUUGCCCAGGCUGGAGUACAUUGUGGCGUGAUCUCAGCUCACUGCAAGCUCCGCCUUCCGGGUUCAGGCCAUUCUCCUGCUUCAGCCUCCUGAGUAGCUGGGACAACAGGCACCCGCCACCACGCCCGGCUAAGUUUUUAUAUUUUUAGUAGAGAUGGGGUUUCACUGUGUUAGCCAGGAUGGUCUCGAUCUCCUGACCUCAUGAUCCACCCACCUCGGCCUCCCAAAGUGCUGGGAUUAUAGGCAUGAGCCACCACGUUCAGCCCGUUCUGACUAUUCUAAUUAGGGCUGUAGGGUGAAAAUAUUUGCAACUCUUUACUUCAAUACUUCAUAAUAUAUUAAACGCAAAUGUAUUCAAAGUGAUUAUUCAGCAAUUUUUGUCUUUUCCGAAGUUUUAAUUUUUUAAACACUUUUAAAAUUUCUAUUUUAUUUAUUGUAUUUUUUUUUUUAGAUUCAAGGUCCCACUAUGUUGCCCAAGCUAGACUCAAACGAUUCUCCUACCUUAACCCGAGUAGCUCGGAUUACAGGUGUAUAUCUUUUUUCUGCAGUUUUUAGAGAGGGUUUUUCAAAUGUUUAUUAAGCAUCAAUGGCAUAUCUACUAUAAAUACUAGAUAUAUUAUGCUCAGUGAUUCUUAGCAGAAAUCUUAAAAUGUUCCUAUCAUUGACUUUCUCUGUACAAAAAUUUCAGAUUCAUGAAGACUGCUUUAGAGUUUAGCUGCAUGGGGUUUGGAGAACUGAGAUGUUACCUGGUUUGUUUAUAUUAACAAAUACCUAUUCUCAAAUCACAGAUGAUAGACUUAAAUUUUUGAAAAUGAGUAUACAAAGGCCGGGCAUGGUGGCUCACAUCUGUAAUCCCAGCGCUUUGGGAGGCCCAGACACGAGGAUUGCUUAAAAAUAGAAGUUCAAAUACAGCCUGGGCAACACGGCAGGGCCUCAUGUCAAUGAAAAAUAGAAAAAUUAGCCAGGGACGGUGGCAUGCACCUGUAGUCCCAGCUACUCAGGAAGCUGAAGCAGGAGGAUCACUCAAGUGGUGAGGUUACAACGAACUAUGAUUCACCGCUGCACUACAGCCUACAUGACAGAGUAACACCCUGCCUCUAUUUUUUAAAAAAAGAAUUAGUAUAUAAGGCUAAAUAAGUAUAAACACAUAAAAAGAAUUAGUGUAUAAGAUUAAAUAAGUGUAAGCACACAAACAAACUUAUGUGGAAGUAACAUGUUUGGCAGAAUACAUCUAUCAAUUAGGAAGAUAGUAAAAAGAUAGAAUUCAUCUAUCAAUUAGGAAGGUAGUAAAAAGGUCUUUGUGACUAAUAUGCUGUACUCAUUACAGUCUCCUAGGCCAUCAUUCAGGGACUAAAAAAUUUAAAUGAUGAAAAAAAUUAAAGACUAUAGUAUAGUACAUAGAAGAUUCCAUUUUUCUUGUCAACUGUGUUGACAGGCUGUGCACGUGCACUGGGCAAGUCACUUAAUUUUUCUGGACCUCAAUUUCUAGCCACCCUCUGAAAUCCUAAGAUGGUAUUCUUAUUUUUUAAGAUAAUUUUUACAACCUUGGUUAUCUAAGAUAAUUUUUACAACCUUGGUUAUCUAGUUUUCUAAGCAAUAGCAGACCAGAAAUAGUCAAAGAGAGAGAGCAGGGAGAAGUGUAGCAGGAAACAAGCCAUUGAUAAUGUACUAAGUGGCAGGUAACAGAGAAGAUGACUGAAAAUUUUUAACAAUCAGAUCCAGGAACCCUCACAGUAACCUGGGUCCAUUAGGAAUAGAAAAACAUACCUCUUCUAUCUAUGGAUAAUUCAAAGGUCUUAUUUCUCUUCCGGCACUUCAAUUUUGUUUUGGUCAUUUUACUGAAGUGGAGGAUGAAGAAAAACAAACAAGACAUGUAACUACGCCCCUAAAGAGUUAACGACACCAAUGACUAACAAAUGGUUUGCAGGAUGACAGAUAAAAAAAGAAACAACUUGCUGAAAUGCCGAGACUCUCUCUACUUAUAAGAUAAAACUGGCUGAAAUCAGUUGAAAUCAAUAUGGCCAACUGGAGUUUUGCACAGAAAGAGCUUGCUGACAUCACGGUGUUCAUUUCUACCAGAUGUUUCAUACUAACUCUCCCCCAAUUUGCACAUGGAACCCAUGAGGAGGCAUGAAGAGAUAACUGUGCAUGCCUAAGGAUUUUACCAGACCUCCCCUUUCCUUUGAUCAAUCACCUGCUAAUCUCAGCAUCUACCCCUCGACCUUUUCUUAUAAAAUUACUGCCUUAAAGUCAGCAGGAGGAAACACAUUUGAGCCAGACUCCUACCUCCUUGUUAGUCAACUUGCAAUAUAAAGCUUUUCUUUCCUCAAAACUUGUUGUCGUAGCAUUGGUUUCUAGUGCAUUGGGCAGCAAGCCCCCUUCUCUUUUGCUGAAUAAUAGACAGAAGUAAAAUGUAACACAUUCAAGUGUUGACAGUUAAAGUAAAACACAACACCAUUUGUGAGCUUUACAUUCUACUUAGGACAAAGUAAAGAGAGAGAGACAGAGUCCUUUGAGUAUAUCUGUAAAUAACACAUUAUUUUACAGUUCUAAUACUUCACACUGCUCUGUUAUGCAAUAAGACAAACUGAUUUACACAAGAGCCAGUUUCUAUAGUUCCAAAUGGAUGCAGAUGGGAAAAAACACUAGAUGUGGUCUUAUACAAUCUAGGUUUGAAUCCCAACUUGACCCAAAAGUAGCAAAUAGACCACAGAAGGCAACAGUCUUUCCAAACUCAACUCUUAAUUGAAGAUACUCAUGCUUAUCCUUACAAAAUUGAAAAGAUCUAAUGAAUUAACAUCUGUGAAAGCAUUUUAUAAUUCUAUAAAAGCCUUUCAUAAACUAACAUCUCAUAUACAUAUCUUAUGAAUCUCCAAAACUGUCUCCAGUUUACAGUGAAUAACUGGAGAUCAACUGCAUAUAUAUGAAUACGCUAUAAAAUCUAGUGAGUUCCUCUGACCAACACUCAACUCACUCAAAGGCAAAAGCAACAAGAUAAUCCAGUUAGGUCAAACUACUGAUUUCAGGUAGGAUACAAUCAUCUGUGGCAGACCAACUCACCUAUCAAAACUAUCCUCCACAGCCUGGGCACCAUCAUGAGACCUUGUCUCUACAAAAAGUAAAUGAACAGAUAAAAACUCAUCGCACCCAAGAUGGCUGAAUAGGAACAGCUCCAGCCUCCAGCUCCCAGCCUGAGUGACACAUAAGACGAGUGACUUCCGCAUUUUCAACUGAGGUACCGGGUUCAUCUCACUGGGGUGUGUUGGACAGUCGAUGCUGGUCCGCGGGUGCAGCACAACUGGCGAGAGCUGAGGCAGGGCGAGGCAUCGCCUCACCUGGAAAGCAUGAGGGGGAAGGGAAUUCCUUUUCCUAGCCAAGGGAAAUUGAGACACACAACAUCUGGAAAAUUGGGUAACUCCCACCCUAAUACUGCACUUUACCAAGGGUCUCAGCAAACGGCACACCAGGAGAUUAUAUCCCACACCUGACCCGGAGGGUCCCACGCCCACGGAGCCUCCCUUAUUGCUAGGAUUUAACUGCAAGGCGGUAGUGAGGCUGGGGGAGGGGCGUCCGCCAUCGCUGAGGUUUAAGUAGGUAAACAAAGCCACUGGGAAGCUCGAAUUGGGUGAAGCCC
This 3677-nucleotide long non-coding RNA is filed under the name Macaca fascicularis (crab-eating macaque). Its description in RNAcentral is "lncRNA (ENSMFAG00000058554.1)". The record is from RNAcentral. Lineage: Eukaryota; Metazoa; Chordata; Mammalia; Primates; Cercopithecidae.